GACGAACGCUGGCGGCGUGCUUAACACAUGCAAGUCGAACGGAAAGGCCCUGCUUGCAUGGUACUCGAGUGGCGAACGGGUGAGUAACACGUGGGUGUUAUCCCCUGCACUUCGGGAUAAGCUUUGAAAACUGGGUCUAUUACAGGGUAGGAGCCAUCUUGCGUGUGGGGGGUGGUAAGAUUUUUCGGUGUGGGGGGAGCUCGCGGCCUAUCAGCUUGUUGGUGGGGUGAUGGCCUACCAAGGAGGCCACGGGUAGCCGGCCGGAGAGGGUGUGCGGCCGCAUUGGGACGGAUAUACGGCGGCGAAGACUACGAGGGGAAGCAGUGGGGAAGAUUGUAGAAUAAGCGCCAGCCGGAUGAAGCGGCGCCGCGUGGGGGAUGAAGGCGUCCGGGUUGUAGAAUCCUUCUGUUAGGGACGACGCUUCUUUGUGACGGUACCUAGAUAAGAAGCAACGGCUAAAUAAGUG
RNAcentral lists this ribosomal RNA (466 nucleotides) under uncultured bacterium. RNAcentral describes it as "partial 16S ribosomal RNA". It matches the Rfam family "Bacterial small subunit ribosomal RNA", at positions 28 to 507 of the family's 1533-position model. The record is from RNAcentral.